RNAcentral lists this ribosomal RNA (464 nucleotides) under uncultured Allobrachymonas sp. RNAcentral describes it as "bacterial SSU rRNA". It matches the Rfam family "Bacterial small subunit ribosomal RNA", at positions 910 to 1382 of the family's 1533-position model. The record is from RNAcentral. Lineage: Bacteria; Pseudomonadati; Pseudomonadota; Betaproteobacteria; Burkholderiales; Comamonadaceae.
UUGACGGGACCGCACAAGCGGUGGAUGAUGUGGUUUAAUUCGAUGCAACGCGAAAACCUUACCCACCUUUGACAUGGCAGGAAUCCCGAAGAGAUUGGGAGUGCUCGAAAGAGAACCUGCACACAGGUGCUGCAUGGCUGUCGUCAGCUCGUGUCGUGAGAUGUUGGGUUAAGUCCCGCAACGAGCGCAACCCUUGCCAUUAGUUGCUACGAAAGGGCACUCUAAUGGGACUGCCGGUGACAAACCGGAGGAAGGUGGGGAUGACGUCAAGUCCUCAUGGCCCUUAUAGGUGGGGCUACACACGUCAUACAAUGGCCGGUACAGAGGGUAGCCAACCCGCGAGGGGGAGCCAAUCCCACAAAGCCGGUCGUAGUCCGGAUCGCAGUCUGCAACUCGACUGCGUGAAGUCGGAAUCGCUAGUAAUCGCGGAUCAGCAUGUCGCGGUGAAUACGUUCCCGGGUCUU